Molecule: ribosomal RNA, 253 nt
Filed under: uncultured bacterium
Lineage: Bacteria
Description: partial 16S ribosomal RNA
Rfam family: Bacterial small subunit ribosomal RNA
Source: RNAcentral
UACAGCGGGGGCAAGCGUUGUUCGGAAUUACUGGGCGUAAAGGGCGCGUAGGCGGCCUUCUAAGUCGAACGUGAAAUCCCCGGGCUCAACCCGGGAACUGCGUCCGAUACUGGAAGGCUUGAAUCCGGGAGAGGGAUGUGGAAUUCCAGGUGUAGCGGUGAAAUGCGUAGAUAUCUGGAGGAACACCGGUGGCGAAGGCGACAUCCUGGACCGGUAUUGACGCUGAGGCGCGAAAGCCAGGGGAGCAAACGGG